GGAGAGGCCAUGGGUCAGGUGCAGAACAUCUGCUUUGUAUGUAGAAGAUCCCGGGUUCAAUUCCCAGCAUCUCCA
This 75-nucleotide transfer RNA is filed under the name Sphaerodactylus townsendi. RNAcentral's name for it is "tRNA-Thr". Lineage: Eukaryota; Metazoa; Chordata; Lepidosauria; Squamata; Sphaerodactylidae. The record is from RNAcentral.